UAGGUUCUGUUAUCUUUAAAAACAGAGUAAUAGCUUUCUUCUGUAGAGUACAUUGUUGCCUGCCUAUAAUGUAGGGAGGUCAUCAGCACCUCUGAAAGAUGAUGCAGUGAUUUGUAUUAAUAAGUUACUACCUUCUAGACUUGAUUGUCUGAGUGCACAUAAGUAUACAGGGAAUGACUGAAGUCAUUCACUACCUCUGAACACACAUGGAUACUUCUGGAUAGGUAUUGUAAAUAUUUGGUUUAGGUAUGUCAUUUUUGGGUGGCAAAUACUUCUUCCUUCUGUGCAGCUAUAUGAUUUGUGUUACACGUUAUUUUAAGCAGUGCAAAAAUCAACAGUAAAGCUUUCACACACCCUUCAGAUCAUUUAAAUUGGAUGUUGCAUGAAGAGCAAUCUGCAAGAAGCUAAGGUGAUACAUCUUCCCACUUAGACCCGCAAAACUGCACAAGAGACUUAUAACUGAGACACAGCCUGAAGAAAGUUAAGGAAGUUGUUAGUAGUCUCUGUCACAAAUGAGAAGACUCAUUUGGUUGGUCUUUUCUGGUUCUGGUCUUUUCUUCAGACUUUGAUGAAACUACAAAGUACAGAAAGUUGUUUUUGCUGAGGGAGCAGCAUCUGUAAGAAGAAAAAGAGAAACUUCAAGCAAAACAAAAAAAGCUAGAGGAAGCCAAUGAGAAGAACUAUAGUUGGUUAUGACUAAUCUGCUACAAGCUUAAGUUUUCUUGUUACUUAAUGGGUCUUUUAACUUAAUUUAUAGAGUCCAUUGAAUCUAUUUCUUCUUAAUUUCUUUUGACAGUUAAGACUUUUUUUUUUUUUUUUUUUUUUUUCCAUAAAGUAUGUGAAGCUCAUGUACUUUGGCUAAGAAAUCUGUUAGCAUCUGGAGUAACAGUACAACAACAUUCAGAUUUUUUAUGAAAUAGAGUAUUUGCAGGAAGAUGGAUCCCAGCCUAUUAAAACUAAAACUUGCAGGAAGAUAGGGACUCUGAUGUAUCAUCUGUCAAGGUGGAGGUUCCAUAGACUCAGUGAUUCACCGAUAUUUGGAGACAGCACAAGACGCAAAAAUAACCUGUCCUUCCGUUACACUGCUAACAGAAGAUGCAGCUAGCAAUUCCCCAAACCUCUUUCUAGUCUUUCUCUGUUGAAUUCAUGUAACAUGUCAAAGAAAUGAUUUUUGUCCUUGAUUAUUGCAGUACAAUAAAAAGCAUUGAAAACACA
Molecule: long non-coding RNA, 1215 nt
Filed under: Coturnix japonica (Japanese quail)
Lineage: Eukaryota; Metazoa; Chordata; Aves; Galliformes; Phasianidae
Description: lncRNA (ENSCJPG00005006793.1)
Source: RNAcentral